This 467-nucleotide ribosomal RNA is filed under the name uncultured bacterium. RNAcentral describes it as "bacterial SSU rRNA". It matches the Rfam family "Bacterial small subunit ribosomal RNA", at positions 329 to 794 of the family's 1533-position model. The record is from RNAcentral.
CCCCAGACUCCUACGGGAGGCAGCAGUGAGGAAUAUUGGUCAAUGGUCGGGAGACUGAACCAGCCAAGCCGCGUGAGGGAUGAAGGUACAGAGUAUCGUAAACCUCUUUUGUCAGGGAACAAAGGCGGGGACGUGUCCCCGGAUGAGUGUACCUGAAGAAAAAGCAUCGGCUAACUCCGUGCCAGCAGCCGCGGUAAUACGGAGGAUGCGAGCGUUAUCCGGAUUUAUUGGGUUUAAAGGGUGCGCAGGCGGUCGGUUAAGUCAGGGGUCAAAGCCCGGGGCUCAACCCCGGUCCGCCGUUGAAACUGGCAGUCUCGAGUUGGAGAGAAGUAUGCGGAAUGCGCGGUGUAGCGGUGAAAUGCAUAGAUAUCGCGCAGAACUCCGAUUGCGAAGGCAGCCUACCGGCUCCUAUCUGACGCUGAGGCACGAAAGCGUGGGUAUCGAACAGGAUUAGAUACCCCUGUAAA